RNAcentral lists this small RNA (185 nucleotides) under Arthrobacter cupressi. RNAcentral describes it as "c-di-AMP sequence". It matches the Rfam family "c-di-AMP riboswitch aptamer (ydaO/yuaA leader)". From Rfam's summary of the family: This family represents a conserved RNA structure found upstream of the ydaO and yuaA genes in Bacillus subtilis and related genes in other bacteria. Lineage: Bacteria; Bacillati; Actinomycetota; Actinomycetes; Micrococcales; Micrococcaceae. RNAcentral also lists the same sequence under 1 other name. The record is from RNAcentral.
GCUCUGCCACUGCUCAAGUCCCGUUCGCAAAACAUCGUCUGGCAGAGGCGGGGGACCCACUUCCGGUCACCAUCACGGUGGCCUUGGGGUUAAGUCGCAGAUCAUUUCCGUAAGGAAAUACCCUGCGGCCGGAUGACUCCCAUCCGAAUCCGACAGCUUACCUCGCGGGCAUAGGGAGAGGCUUC